Long non-coding RNA from Engraulis encrasicolus (European anchovy), 338 nucleotides. RefSeq lists it as uncharacterized. Lineage: Eukaryota; Metazoa; Chordata; Actinopteri; Clupeiformes; Engraulidae. The record is from RefSeq and is a predicted model, not a curated record. The transcript has 3 exons.
UCAUCAUCAUAUUGUGUCGUGGUGGUGACGGUGUUAUCAUUUUUUAUUAUUUUCUUGUAAUAAUUAGGCCUAUAAAUGCAUAAUCAUGUUCACGUUUUGUGCUGUCAUGCUUUGCAGAUGACUGAGAAUAUUACUGAAGGAUCCUACAUGGAAGCUGUCUGAUUACACUGAGUGAUUCCUCUGGUGUGGUGUACCUCAGAGAAAAUAAACACUGUUGCAAGAGGUCACUGCUACUGCAGCAGAUGUCGCAAGUCUUUCUCUGCCCAACGCCCCAAGGCUGUUUGCACUUGGUUCAUUCUCAGAAUAAACCCAGAGGGCUCCAAAUGCCAGGCCAAGUC